Lampris incognitus (smalleye Pacific opah) is the source of this 456-nucleotide long non-coding RNA. RefSeq lists it as uncharacterized. The transcript is spliced from 3 exons. The record is from RefSeq and is a predicted model, not a curated record. Lineage: Eukaryota; Metazoa; Chordata; Actinopteri; Lampriformes; Lampridae.
GCUCAAUGUGCCCUUUCAAACUUUUCCACGACACACGACGGCGACACACGGGAAUCCGGAGAGUGCCAAGGUGGGACUUACAAGCAGCGGAUCGACCUGCAAAAAAAAAAACCUUCACCCAAAGGACGACUCAAGAGAGGAGGACUCACGUCGCGCCUUCUUCAGCCGGAUUUCUGGACGAAGGGGGGGGGGGAUUAAAAGACCGCAGUUUGCUUUUGAAGGACAUGGAAACUCAUCUCACUGGGAUUUAGCGGCAGCGGCGCAGGACCAGCGGCGCACCGGGCGCCGUUAUGGAGACACUUGAGGAUUAUAAAGUAGUAUGGAUCUGUUGGUUGGGGCUGUGCGCUCUUCACGUGUGCGCCCCCCCCUCCCCCCAAGGCAUCUGGACAGCGUGAUGCCGCAGCACGGCCGUCUUUCAAGUCCGUAUGAUGGGUGGGCGUAGAGGCUGAUCCUGGA